Molecule: ribosomal RNA, 253 nt
Filed under: uncultured bacterium
Lineage: Bacteria
Description: partial 16S ribosomal RNA
Rfam family: Bacterial small subunit ribosomal RNA
Source: RNAcentral
CACGUAGGGGGCGAGCGUUGUCCGGAUUUAUUGGGCGUAAAGAGCUCGUAGGCGGUUUGGUAAGUCUGGUGUGAAAUCUCCACGCUCAACGUGGAGGGGCCACCCGAUACUGCCAUGACUGGAGUCCGGUAGAGGAGUGUGGAAUUCCCGGUGUAGCGGUGAAAUGCGCAGAUAUCGGGAGGAACACCCGUAGCGAAGGCGGCACUCUGGGCCGGUACUGACGCUGAGGAGCGAAAGCGUGGGAGCAAACAGG